GCCUGGCUAGCUUAGCAGUUGAGACUUUUAAUCUGAGGGUACAGGGUUCAAGUCCCUGGUCAGGCA
This 66-nucleotide transfer RNA is filed under the name Pelodiscus sinensis (Chinese soft-shelled turtle). It matches the Rfam family "tRNA". Rfam says of the family: Transfer RNA (tRNA) molecules are approximately 80 nucleotides in length. Their secondary structure includes four short double-helical elements and three loops (D, anti-codon, and T loops). Lineage: Eukaryota; Metazoa; Chordata; Testudines; Trionychidae. The record is from Rfam by way of RNAcentral.